GGAGGGAUCAUUACCCAUCGCCUUAAAGCGAACAUUUUUGAGUACUUUGUACUCUUGGCAGUAGACCGAGUAUUCCGCUUCGGCGAUGACUCGGCAGCCUUAAGUCAGUAGAGUAUUCCGCUUCGGCGUAGAGCUCGGCAGACAGUCUUCGGCAGUAGACCGAGUAUUCCGCUACGGCGAUGACUCGGCAGCCUUAAGUCAGUAGAGUAUUCCGCUUCGGCGAUGACUCGGCAGACGAAAGUGGAUAAGGGCAAGAUCUCGCUGUAGCAGGCGUUAUCGCUCUGAUCCAGGUGCCUCGAAGCACAAGUAGUGGUUCACAGCGGCCUUCUGGCUGUGUGAGCGCGACUAGAUGGGUCUUCGGACUCGGAACUUUUGAGUUCGUGGUUCGAGUACUAAGCUACCUGAGGCCGGCCGUGUCGGUUGAUGAAGGCUGUCUUUUGCUCGACUGCGCUCUCGUUUUACCAACCUUUGUCUAAAUAAACAUAGUACAACUGUUAGCCGUGGAUCACUCGGCUGGUGGAUCGAUGAAGAACGUAGCUAAGUACGUUAACCGGGUUGAUGUGCAUAAUAGCGCUGAUGCCUUGGUCUUUGAACGCACAUUGCGGGCAAGGAAUAACUUCCUUGCCCUUAUCUGUGUGAGGGUUGAUUUGUCAAUUAACAAUGUGUAAGGCGUGAUCAUAGCAAUAUGAGACGCUGUUUGUCGCAACUCAAUGCGGAAAAGGUCUUUGACUUAGCGAAGCCCGAGCGUGUCAGCCGGGUUGCGGUCUUAGAUUGAGAAGUGUCUCCUUAACUUGCGUAGCCCUAGCGCUGUCGGUUUUACCGGCUAAACAGCGGGGUGCAGUUGUGUUUUCUUGCUUCGCUUGCCUUGACUGGCUAUGCUCUCGCGUUAAGCAGGGCCUGUCGUCUUGGCUAUGAGUGGCCGUCUUUGCGUGCUAAGCCCGUGCGUAUGCUGGGUGCCGCUUAGAUGUGUUUCUCUAUGUUGCUACCCAUCUUUUUAUUACUCACAACCUCACAUCAGGUAAGAUAACCCGCUGAACUUAAGCAUAUCAAUAAGCGGAGGAAAAGAAAGCAAAUGCGAUUCCCUUAGUAACGGCGAGUGAAAGGGGAGAAGCCCAUCGUGAAGGCCUGUUUCCGUGAGGACUCGGGCGAUGCCACGAUAGUUAAGCGGGUAAGCGGUUGUUGGACUAGGGCUGUAAAUCUGCUUAAGUGCAGUGCCAUAGAAGGUCGAAGCCCUGUUUCGGCCCUGGUCCUGUUGCUGCGCUACCGUUUAAUAAGAGUCGGGUUACUUGAAAGUGUAACCUAAAGAUGCAGGUAGAUCCCUGCUAAGGCUAAAUACGUCCACCAGACCGAUAGCAAACAAGUACCGUGAGGGAAAGUUGCAAAGUACUUUGAAGAGAGAGUUAAAAGAACGUGAAACGGCUAACGGGUAAACGGUUGUAGUGGUCGGAAUAAUCGGCUGGCUUUCAUGAUUCCUGGGUUAAGGGUCUCUCUCUGAGAGAGCCUGUCCCGCAUAGGAGUCUGCAUUAGCCCGGUCGGUGCUGUCCUGCGGCGCUAGGGACGUGUGUGCUCGGCUUGCGAGGAGUUGUCGUGCGUUCAUUCCUUCGGGAGUGGAUAAUAAGCGCGGCUGCCUCGUGUUGCUAGUGGUACUGUUCUUAGUGCGGUAACCCUUUCUAGGGUACGUGAUGUUGGUCGAAGGCGCUGACCUGCGUUGGAGACGGGCUGUAGGUGUAAACCGAAUGCCUUUCUUUAGCGCAAUAGGUGCUUGAGACAGGCGUUACCGCAGAUGAGACUAACUGUAACCGUCCCGUCUUGAAACACGGACUAAGGAGUCUAGCAAUAGCGCGAGUCGCACAGUCUUGAACAGGCUUGUGAGGCGGAAUGAAAGUAACAGAGGUGAUUCUCGCAAGAGAGGCAACCUCGGGUCCCUAAAGGGAACCUGUAGCGCUAUUGCUGGUACCCGAAAGAUGGUGAACUAUGCCUGGGCAAGACAAAGUCAGGGGAAACUCUGAUGGAGGUCUGUAGCGAUUCUGACGUGCAAAUCGAUCGUCAGACCCGGGUAUAGGGGCGAAAGACUAAUCGAACCAUCUAGUAGCUGGUUCCUUC
Molecule: unclassified non-coding RNA, 2103 nt
Filed under: uncultured fungus
Lineage: Eukaryota; Fungi
Description: sequence contains 18S rRNA gene, ITS1, 5.8S rRNA gene, ITS2, 28S rRNA gene
Rfam family: Eukaryotic large subunit ribosomal RNA (bases 1005-2103)
Source: RNAcentral